UGAGGAAUAUUGGUCAAUGGGCGAGAGCCUGAACCAGCCAAGUAGCGUGCAGGAUGACGGCCCUAUGGGUUGUAAACUGCUUUUAUGCGGGGAUAAAGUGCGCGACGUGUCGUGCAUUGCAGGUACCGCAUGAAUAAGGACCGGCUAAUUCCGUGCCAGCAGCCGCGGUAAUACGGAAGGUCCGGGCGUUAUCCGGAUUUAUUGGGUUUAAAGGGAGCGUAGGCCGCCAGAUAAGCGUGUUGUGAAAUGUACCGGCUCAACCGGUGAAUUGCAGCGCGAACUGUUUGGCUUGAGUGCACGGUAAGCAGGCGGAAUUCAUGGUGGAGCGGUGAAAUGCUUAGAUAUCAUGAAGAACUCCGAUUGCGAAGGCAGCUUGCUGCAGUGCGACUGACGCUGAUGCUCGAAGGUGCGGGUAUCAAACAGG
RNAcentral lists this ribosomal RNA (424 nucleotides) under Verrucomicrobiota bacterium. RNAcentral's name for it is "Verrucomicrobia bacterium partial 16S ribosomal RNA". It matches the Rfam family "Bacterial small subunit ribosomal RNA", at positions 355 to 776 of the family's 1533-position model. Lineage: Bacteria; Pseudomonadati; Verrucomicrobiota. The record is from RNAcentral.